RNAcentral lists this ribosomal RNA (896 nucleotides) under Inocybe leiocephala. RNAcentral describes it as "eukaryotic LSU rRNA". The stretch from base 318 to 471 matches the Rfam family "5.8S ribosomal RNA". Lineage: Eukaryota; Fungi; Basidiomycota; Agaricomycetes; Agaricales; Inocybaceae. The record is from RNAcentral.
GUAAAAGUCGUAACAAGGUUUCCGUAGGUGAACCUGCGGAAGGAUCAUUAUUGAAUAAACUUGAACAGGCUGUUGCUGGCCCUCUCUUGUGAGGGGGACAUGUGCACGCUUGUCAUCUUUAUCUCUCCAACUGUGCACACAUUGUAGACCUGGAGUCGUCUUUGUUGAUUCAUUCGAGUUGGCACUGCAGCGCUUUUCAAAACAAAAAAAAGUCUGCUCUGCCUUUUGCAUUUCCAGGUCUAUGUCAUUUUCACAACCUCAAUGUGUUUAGAAUGUCGAAUCAGGUCCUUUUUUGUACCUAUAAAAGUUAAAUAUACAACUUUCAGCAACGGAUCUCUUGGCUCUCGCAUCGAUGAAGAACGCAGCGAAAUGCGAUAAGUAAUGUGAAUUGCAGAAUUCAGUGAAUCAUCGAAUCUUUGAACGCAUCUUGCGCUCCUUGGUAUUCCGAGGAGCAUGCCUGUUUGAGUGUCAUUUCAAGUUCUCAACUGCAUCAAUUUCUCGUUGAUGUGGCUUGGAUGUGGGGGAUUGAUUAUUGCAGGCUUCUGUCAAAGGAGGUCGGCUCCCCUGAAAAGUAUUAGUGGUAUCUGAGCGGAAGAAACUACUAUAGGUGUGAUAACUAUCUAUGCCUUCAGUAUGCUGCAUAAAAACAGAUUGCACUGCUUCUAACCUAGUGAAAACCUCUCUCUCUACAAGGAGGGGCCACAUUUGACGAAUUUGACCUCAAAUCAGGUAGGACUACCCGCUGAACUUAAGCAUAUCAAUAAGCGGAGGAAAAGAAACUAACAAGGAUUCCCCUAGUAACUGCGAGUGAAGCGGGAAAAGCUCAAAUUUGAAAUCUGGCGGUUUUUUGACUGUCCGAGUUGUAAUCUAGAGAAGUGUUACCUGUGCUGGACCGU